Molecule: ribosomal RNA, 927 nt
Filed under: uncultured Bacteroidota bacterium
Lineage: Bacteria; Pseudomonadati; Bacteroidota
Description: bacterial SSU rRNA
Rfam family: Bacterial small subunit ribosomal RNA
Source: RNAcentral
UGGAUCCAGACUUUGAUUCUGGCUCAGGAUGAACGCUAGCUACAGGCUUAACACAUUGCAAGUCGAGGGGAAACGAUAUUGGAAGCUUGCUUCCGAUAGGCGUCGACCGGCGCACGGGUGAGUAACGCGUAUCCAACCUGCCCACCACUUGGGAAUAACCUUGCGAAAGUAAGACUAAUACCCAAUGAUAUCUCUAGAAGACAUCUGAAGGAGAUUAAAGAUUUAUCGGUGAUGGAUGGGGAUGCGUCUGAUUAGCUUGUUGGCGGGGUAACGGCCCACCAAGGCGACGAUCAGUAGGGGUUCUGAGAGGAAGGUCCCCCACAUUGGAACUGAGACACGGUCCAAACUCCUACGGGAGGCAGCAGUGAGGAAUAUUGGUCAAUGGGCGAGAGCCUGAACCAGCCAAGUAGCGUGCAGGAUGACGGCCCUAUGGGUUGUAAACUGCUUUUAUAAGGGAAUAAAGUGAGUCUCGUGAGACUUUUUGCAUGUACCUUAUGAAUAAGGACCGGCUAAUUCCGUGCCAGCAGCCGCGGUAAUACGGAAGGUCCGGGCGUUAUCCGGAUUUAUUGGGUUUAAAGGGAGCGUAGGCCGGAGAUUAAGCGUGUUGUGAAAUGUAGAUGCUCAACAUCUGCACUGCAGCGCGAACUGGUUUCCUUGAGUACGCACAAAGUGGGCGGAAUUCGUGGUGUAGCGGUGAAAUGCUUAGAUAUCACGAAGAACUCCGAUUGCGAAGGCAGCUCACUGGAGCGCAACUGACGCUGAAGCUCGAAAGUGCGGGUAUCGAACAGGAUUAGAUACCCUGGUAGUCCGCACGGUAAACGAUGGAUGCCCGCUGUUGGUCUGAAUAGGUCAGCGGCCAAGCGAAAGCAUUAAGCAUCCCACCUGGGGAGUACGCCGGCAACGGUGCAACUCAAAUGAAUUGACGGA